RNAcentral lists this small RNA (29 nucleotides) under Bombyx mori (domestic silkworm). RNAcentral's name for it is "ovarian small RNA-37052". Lineage: Eukaryota; Metazoa; Arthropoda; Insecta; Lepidoptera; Bombycidae. The record is from RNAcentral.
UUCAUAUUGCCACGGUACGGAUCCUCCAU